Molecule: ribosomal RNA, 658 nt
Filed under: bacterium SCSIO13050
Lineage: Bacteria
Description: bacterial SSU rRNA
Rfam family: Bacterial small subunit ribosomal RNA
Source: RNAcentral
UGCAGUCGAGCGGAGAUGUUGGAGCUUGCUCCAACAUCUUAGCGGCGGACGGGUGAGUAACACGUGGGCAACCUGCCCUGCAGAUCGGGAUAACUCCGGGAAACCGGUGCUAAUACCGAAUAGUUUGCGGCCUCUCAUGAGGCCGCACGGAAAGACGGUUUCGGCUGUCACUGCAGGAUGGGCCCGCGGCGCAUUAGCUAGUUGGUGAGGUAACGGCUCACCAAGGCCACGAUGCGUAGCCGACCUGAGAGGGUGAUCGGCCACACUGGGACUGAGACACGGCCCAGACUCCUACGGGAGGCAGCAGUAGGGAAUCUUCCGCAAUGGACGAAAGUCUGACGGAGCAACGCCGCGUGAGUGAAGAAGGUUUUCGGAUCGUAAAACUCUGUUGUGAGGGAAGAACAAGUACCAAGUAACUACUGGUACCUUGACGGUACCUCACCAGAAAGCCACGGCUAACUACGUGCCAGCAGCCGCGGUAAUACGUAGGUGGCAAGCGUUGUCCGGAAUUAUUGGGCGUAAAGCGCGCGCAGGCGGUCCUUUAAGUCUGAUGUGAAAGCCCACGGCUCAACCGUGGAGGGUCAUUGGAAACUGGGGGACUUGAGUGCAGAAGAGGAAAGUGGAAUUCCACGUGUAGCGGUGAAAUGCGUAGAGAUGU